Molecule: ribosomal RNA, 422 nt
Filed under: uncultured archaeon
Lineage: Archaea
Description: partial 16S ribosomal RNA
Rfam family: Archaeal small subunit ribosomal RNA
Source: RNAcentral
CUACGGGUUGCACCAGGCGCGCAACCUUUACAAUGCACUAACGUGUGAUAUGGGGACUCCAAGUGCUUAUGCUCAGCAUAGGCUUUUGCCAAGAGUGAAGACCUUGGCGAAUAAGCGGUGGGUAAGACUGGUGCCAGCAGCCGCGGUAACACCAGCGCCGCAAGUGGGAAUCGGUUUUAUUGGGCCUAAAGCAUCCGUAGCUGGCCUAACAAGUCUUUUGUGAAAUCGAGGAGCUUAACUCAUCGGAAUGCGGAAGAUACUGUUAGGCUUGGGACUGGGAGGAGUGAGAGGAAUUUCGUGGGAAGCGGUAAAAUGCUAUAAUCCUCGAAAGACCACCGAUGGCGAAGGCAUCUCACCAGAACAGAUCCGACAGUGAGGGAUGAAAGCUAGGGGAGCAAACCGGAUUAGAUACCCCUGUAGUC